RNAcentral lists this ribosomal RNA (407 nucleotides) under uncultured bacterium. Its description in RNAcentral is "partial 16S ribosomal RNA". It matches the Rfam family "Bacterial small subunit ribosomal RNA", at positions 28 to 526 of the family's 1533-position model. The record is from RNAcentral.
GACGAACGCUGGCGGCGUGCUUAACACAUGCAAGUAGAACGCAGUUGCGAACGGGUGAGUAACGCGUAGGUAACUGCCUGGUAGCGGGGGAUAACUAUUGGAAACGAUCGCUAAUACCGCAUACUACCAGAUGGACCUGCGUUGUAUUAGCUAGUUGGUGAGGUAACGGCUCACCAAGGCAACGAUACAUAGCCGACCUGGGAGGGAGAUCGGCCCACCUGGGACUGGGACACGGCCCAGACUCCUACGGGGAGCAGCAGUAGGGAAUCUUCGGCAAUGGGGGGAACCCUGACCGAGCAACGCCGCGGGAGUGAAGAAGGUUUUCGGAUCGUAAAGCUCUGUUGUUAAGGAAGCGGUACUUAACCAGAAAGGGACGGCUAACUACGUGCCAGCAGCCGCGGUAAUAC